Molecule: ribosomal RNA, 496 nt
Filed under: uncultured bacterium
Lineage: Bacteria
Description: partial 16S ribosomal RNA
Rfam family: Bacterial small subunit ribosomal RNA
Source: RNAcentral
GAUGAACGCUGGCGGCGUGCCUAAUACAUGCAAGUCGAGCGAACAGAUGAGGAGCUUGCUCCUCUGACGUUAGCGGCGGACGGGUGAGUAACACGUGGAUAACCUACCUAUAAGACUGGGAUAACUUCGGGAAACCGGAGCUAAUACCGGAUAAUAUAUUGAACCGCAUGGUUCAAUAGUGAAAGACGGUUUUGCUGUCACUUAUAGAUGGAUCCGCGCCGCAUUAGCUAGUUGGUAAGGUAACGGCUUACCAAGGCAACGAUGCGUAGCCGACCUGAGAGGGUGAUCGGCCACACUGGAACUGAGACACGGGCCAGACUCCUACGGGAGGCAGCAGUAGGGAAUCUUCCGCAAUGGGCGAAAGCCUGACGGAGCAACGCCGCGUGAGUGAUGAAGGUCUUCGGAUCGUAAAACUCUGUUAUUAGGGAAGAACAAAUGUGUAAGUAACUAUGCACGUCUUGACGGUACCUAAUCAGAAAGCCACGGCUAACUACGU